Neltuma alba is the source of this 244-nucleotide long non-coding RNA. RefSeq lists it as uncharacterized. The record is from RefSeq and is a predicted model, not a curated record. NCBI's taxonomy places the organism in Eukaryota, Viridiplantae, Streptophyta, Magnoliopsida, Fabales, Fabaceae. The transcript is spliced from 3 exons.
UUGGUAAUUUCUAGAAAUAGCAAGUCAUAUUGAUGAAGAAGAAAGGUAGGCAUUAUUUUAUUGUUUGCUUCAUUUAGAAUGCAGUUGCGGAUUAUGAAAACCCUCAAUUGGAAGGAAGGGAUAAAUCGGGGAUUCUCUGUUUCAAGCUUGAGGUUGGUGUUGGAGCAAUGAAUGGCAAGGAUUUUGAGGUUGGAGUGGUUGGCAAGCGAUGAGAGUGAAAAUGAGCCACUGAAAUUGUUGUCGG